UUUGAACAUGUGAGAACGAGUUAUUAUAUUCAACUUUCUAUAUUGAAGCAAUUAUUAUUAGAAUCUAAUUAGUAACUACUUUAUUAUGUACAAAUUCAUUCCAAGAAGAGAAAUAGGCUUGAGUUAUGGCGUCUCAAUGAUCUAGUGUACGUUAAGUACAAUAGAACAUUGGCACGUCACUAUGAUAUUUGCGAUACCAUUUAUCCUAUUAUCUUGGAAAAUAUUGAAGAUGCUAAUGAAUGGUUACUUGUUGGCCCCGAAGAUCAAGAAGAUGAACUAGUGUAUGAAGAAGGUGAUCUUAAUUGGGGUACUGUUGCUAUGGCAGCUGGAGCUGAUGAUGGUAUUGUCUAUGGUCUUAGGAGAAAGUCAAGGUCAAGGUCACUUGACAAUGGAAAAACGACAAGUUCAAGUCAGACUCGGGCCCUAGUUGAUGAAGAAUCUGAAGAGGAAGAAGAUGAG
RNAcentral lists this long non-coding RNA (459 nucleotides) under Capsicum annuum. RNAcentral describes it as "long non-coding RNA (CANN_LNC008358)". Lineage: Eukaryota; Viridiplantae; Streptophyta; Magnoliopsida; Solanales; Solanaceae. The record is from RNAcentral.